Molecule: small nuclear RNA, 106 nt
Filed under: Cynoglossus semilaevis (tongue sole)
Lineage: Eukaryota; Metazoa; Chordata; Actinopteri; Pleuronectiformes; Cynoglossidae
Description: U5 spliceosomal RNA (ENSCSEG00000010406.1)
Rfam family: U5 spliceosomal RNA
About the family: U5 RNA is a component of both types of known spliceosome. The precise function of this molecule is unknown, though it is known that the 5' loop is required for splice site selection and p220 binding, and that both the 3' stem-loop and the Sm site are important for Sm protein binding and cap methylation.
Source: Rfam by way of RNAcentral
UAACUCUUUUUUUUCUUCAGAUCGUGUAAAUCUUUUUGCCUUUUACUAAAGAUUUCCACGGAGAGGAACAACAAGGUGUUAUUUUUGGGGGGGCAGUAGUGGCUUA